CACUUUUGUUUACUGUCCGUGGCCGCCCAUUUAUUGGAUCCAAUAAAGUCGAGACCUCUGUUUACGAGUCGUUGGCCAACGUUCCAUUUUUGAAGAGCAAGUAUGCAUGCUAAUGUGGAAGAAAGGGAGUCCUUGACUAGCAAGGGAUCGCUUGGGUGAAAAGCCCAUGACCCAUCAGGAUUCUGAUUCUCCAAAAUCCAAUUUAAGCAUUCCGGAAAACGGGACUGGUUUGAUGAAUCUCCGGCUGGGACCAUAGCUACCCAAGCAGUAUCAUAGGGAGAAGCGGAUAGCUCCACCUUGUGGAGCAUGUCUUUAAUUUUUGCAAUCGAGCCAUCCCC
This 338-nucleotide unclassified non-coding RNA is filed under the name Hevea brasiliensis (rubber tree). The record is from RNAcentral. Lineage: Eukaryota; Viridiplantae; Streptophyta; Magnoliopsida; Malpighiales; Euphorbiaceae.